This 3882-nucleotide long non-coding RNA is filed under the name Brassica napus (rape). RNAcentral describes it as "long non-coding RNA (BNAP_LNC017931)". Lineage: Eukaryota; Viridiplantae; Streptophyta; Magnoliopsida; Brassicales; Brassicaceae. The record is from RNAcentral.
GCGAAGGAGUGUAUCUAUGUGGAACCGGACAGGCAAGGUGAGAAGAAAGGUGUGUUCUGGUACAACAAUAAGUUAUGAGGAUAUGAUGAUGGUGAAAGAACAAAGAAGAUAUUGUCACGAACCUUUCUCUUGCUGUCUCUGGUCGUCUUUGUUUUAAGAAGCUAUGUUUUCGUUUCAAUAAUCUUAACUAUCCAUUUUGUUGUGUUUUCUGACAUUUUGGCUAAGUUAUGUGAUGUGGGACACGUUAGUGUCUAAAAUGUCUCUGUGUCUGUAUUGUUCUUCUCAUCUGUGACUUUCGGACAACUAAACUCUUGUUCUCGAACUACCUCAAUGUGGCAUUAAUGAAAGUGUUAUUGUUGAUUUUAAUCUGAAACUGCUAUUAUUUAGUGAAUUUUUACAUCAGCCAACUUGUUUGUUUAAGACCUACCAAUGGUAUAAGAAGGUUUGUGUACUAAUGUUCACCAUGUCCAUAGUGUUAAGACAUAACCAUGAUCUUCUGUCCAAUUAAUUUGCGUCGAGUUAUCGUGUUAUUUGGCACCUUUACUAUGUUUUUUUGUAAAGAACUCCUUACAGAAUAGCUUUUUGUAAAGAACUACGUUUUAUCUUUUUGUAAGAACCUUUUAACAAAAGCCAAAUUCAUUAUUACCUGGCACAAGAAAAAACUCUGGUUUCUUCCUCUUUCUCUGUUUUUAGAUUUGAGGAGGAACAUGAAGAUGAAGAAAAAGAAACAAAUAAAUAACAAAUCUCUUUUUUUCCAUUAACGGCAGAAACACCAAAACAGAGUGACAACAAGAAACAAAUGUAGUGAGGAAAAACCAAAGAAAAAAGAAUAUUCUGAAACCAACUCGUUGAACAUAUUCAAAUACGAAACAAUCUUUCAUCCAACGGCGAGCGUAAUCUAGAAGCAUUUCCUGUGGACUAUCGAUGGCCCUGCCUCAUCAUACUCAGCCUUUGCUAUCCACAUCUGCAAGACCAACAUUGUGUAUCAUAGUCAGCUUAAAAACGAGUAACAAGCAGAAUCGACAAUUUUACCUGUUGGAAGGUACUGAGUGAUGCUAGAAUAGAUCCUCCAAUCCAAACACUAUACUUCCUCUCCGGUGGAGCAACCACCUUAAUCUUCAUACUACUCGGAGCCAAAGCAGUAAUCUCCUUACUCAUCCUAUCAGCAAUCCCAGGGAACAUCGUGGUACCACCACUAAGCACAAUGUUUCCAUACAAAUCUUUCCUAAUAUCCACAUCACAUUUCAUGAUCGAAUUGUAAGUCGUCUCGUGGAUACCAGCAGCUUCCAUUCCGACCAAAGACGGCUGGAAAAGAACCUCAGGACACCUGAACCUCUCCCCUCCGAUGGUGAUCACCUGUCCAUCAGGCAACUCGUAGCUCUUGUCGACGGAUGAGCUAGUGUUCGCCGUCUCCAUCUCUUGCUCGUAGUCAAGUGCUAUGUAAGCGAGUUUCUCUUUCACGUCUCUCACGAUCUCACGCUCUGCUGUUGUUGUGAACGAGUAGCCACGCUCGGUUAAAAUCUUCAUGAGGUAGUCAGUGAGGUCACGACCUGCGAGAUCAAGACGCAGAAUGGCGUGUGGAAGAGCAUAUCCUUCGUAGAUUGGAACAGUGUGACUCACACCAUCUCCAGAGUCCAAUACAAUACCUGAAACAAUGAUUCCACAUCAAUAAAAGUGUUCUACCUUUUUUUUUAUCAACAAAAGUGUUCUUCUACCUUAUAAACUCUCUAGAUAAUUAUAACAUAAUAAUAAUAAAUAAUUUAUAAUUAUAAUAAUUAAUAUUUUUUAGUAUAAAAUCUUAUGAGAAUAAACAAUAUAAAUAUUAUUAUUUGUAAAUAUUUAAACUCUUAUAUUAUUAUUUUUUUCCAACCACUACACUCUUAUAUUACAUAUAUUGUUAUAAUUGGUAAACAACUAGGUCGAAGAUAGGCAUUGAGUUACCGUCUCAGCGCUAAAAUGUCUACUAAAAUUAUAUUACAUUACAUUGAGAAAGCUAAGAUGAACAUCAUAAACCAAUGGUGUUUGAAGAUCUUACCAGUAGUACGACCACUGGCGUAGAGGGACAAAACAGCUUGGAUAGCGACAUACAUAGCGGGGGUGUUGAACGUUUCAAACAUAAUCUGAGUCAUUUUCUCACGAUUAGCUUUAGGAUUGAGAGGAGCCUCUGUGAGAAGAACGGGAUGCUCUUCAGGUGCAACACGCAGCUCGUUGUAGAAAGUGUGAUGCCAAAUCUUCUCCAUGUCAUCCCAGUUGCUGACAAUACCAUGCUCAAUAGGGUACUUGAGAGUCAAGAUACCUCUCUUUGACUGAGCCUCGUCACCAACGUAAGCAUCUUUUUGCCCCAUACCAACCAUCACACCAGUGUGACGUGGUCUACCAACAAUGCUUGGGAACACAGCUCUUGGUGCAUCGUCUCCCGCGAAUCCAGCCUUUCAUAUAGAGAUUUGGAGGUAAGAAAAUUAAAAGAUUUUCAGACAGCAUUAUAUUAAACAAAGUUGUUACGUUUAUGAUUGAUUACCUUAACCAUUCCUGUUCCAUUGUCACACACUAGUGGCUGAAUGUCCUCUCCAUCUGCCAUUUUCUAAUGAUUCUGAAACUAUAUAUAUAUAUAUAUAUCCCUCACCCUCUCUCCUACUUCGCCUGGCCUCUCUACUGGGCCUGCCAGGGCUGCGUCCUAACCGGCGUCUGGGUCAUAGCCCACGAGUGCGGCCACCACGCCUUCAGCGACUACCAGUGGCUGGACGACACCGUCGGCCUCAUCUUCCACUCCUUCCUCCUCGUCCCUUACUUCUCCUGGAAGUACAGUCAUCGACGCCACCAUUCCAACACUGGCUCCCUCGAGAGAGACGAAGUGUUUGUCCCCAAGAAGAAGUCAGACAUCAAGUGGUACGGCAAGUACCUCAACAACCCUUUGGGACGCACCGUGAUGUUAACGGUUCAGUUCACUCUCGGCUGGCCGUUGUACUUAGCCUUCAACGUCUCGGGAAGACCUUACGACGGCGGCUUCGCUUGCCAUUUCCACCCCAACGCUCCCAUCUACAACGACCGCGAGCGUCUCCAGAUAUACAUCUCCGACGCUGGCAUCCUCGCCGUCUGCUACGGUCUCUUCCGUUACGCCGCCGCGCAGGGAGUGGCCUCGAUGGUCUGCUUCUACGGAGUCCCGCUUCUGAUUGUCAAUGGUUUCCUCGUGUUGAUCACUUACUUGCAGCACACGCAUCCUUCCCUGCCUCACUACGAUUCGUCCGAGUGGGAUUGGUUGAGGGGAGCUUUGGCUACCGUUGACAGAGACUACGGAAUCUUGAACAAGGUCUUCCACAAUAUUACCGACACGCACGUGGCGCAUCAUCUGUUCUCCACGAUGCCGCAUUAUCACGCGAUGGAAGCUACCAAGGCGAUAAAGCCGAUACUGGGAGAGUAUUAUCAGUUCGAUGGGACGCCGGUGGUUAAGGCGAUGUGGAGGGAGGCGAAGGAGUGUAUCUAUGUGGAACCGGACAGGCAAGGUGAGAAGAAAGGUGUGUUCUGGUACAACAAUAAGUUAUGAGGAUAUGAUGAUGGUGAAAGAACAAAGAAGAUAUUGUCACGAACCUUUCUCUUGCUGUCUCUGGUCGUCUUUGUUUUAAGAAGCUAUGUUUUCGUUUCAAUAAUCUUAACUAUCCAUUUUGUUGUGUUUUCUGACAUUUUGGCUAAGUUAUGUGAUGUGGGACACGUUAGUGUCUAAAAUGUCUCUGUGUCUGUAUUGUUCUUCUCAUCUGUGACUUUCGGACAACUAAACUCUUGUUCUCGAACUACCUCAAUGUGGCAUUAAUGAAAGUGUUAUUGUUGAUUUUAAUCUGAAACUGCUAUUAUUUAGUGAAUUUUUACAUCAGCCAACUUGUUUGUUUA